ACGCGGCUGGUGUAAUGGUUUAGCGCAUGGGGCCUCCAAUCUCGAUAUCUGGUUUCGAUUCCCAAGUUGUGUA
Non-coding RNA from Tritrichomonas musculus, 73 nucleotides. Lineage: Eukaryota; Parabasalia; Tritrichomonadida; Tritrichomonadidae. The record is from the annotation of a GenBank genome assembly.